AUGUGACACCGGGCCCCUCUGGCGGUGAAUGCUCACCGUGAUGUCGGCGUCACCA
Pseudomonas taeanensis MS-3 is the source of this 55-nucleotide non-coding RNA. The record is from Rfam. NCBI's taxonomy places the organism in Bacteria, Pseudomonadati, Pseudomonadota, Gammaproteobacteria, Pseudomonadales, Pseudomonadaceae.